GUCUAUGGCCAUGCUCCCCUGAACAAGCCUGAUCCCAGCUGAUCUUGGAAGCUAAGCAGGGUUGGGCCUGGUUAUUACUUGGAUGGGAGACCACCUAGGAAGACCAGGUGCUGUAGGCU
This 119-nucleotide ribosomal RNA is filed under the name Pteropus alecto (black flying fox). RNAcentral also lists the same sequence under 1 other name. Lineage: Eukaryota; Metazoa; Chordata; Mammalia; Chiroptera; Pteropodidae. The record is from RNAcentral.